GAUGAACGCUGGCGGCGUGCCUAAUACAUGCAAGUCGAGCGAACAGACGAGGAGCUUGCUCCUCUGACGUUAGCGGCGGACGGGUGAGUAACACGUGGAUAACCUACCUAUAAGACUGGGAUAACCUCGGGAAACCGGAGCUAAUACCGGAUAAUAUAUUGAACCGCAUGGUUCAAUAGUGAAAGACGGUUUUGCUGUCACUUAUAGCUGGAUCCGCGCCGCAUUAGCUAGUUGGUAAGGUAACGGCUUACCAAGGCAACGAUGCGUAGCCGACCUGAGAGGGUGAUCGGCCACACUGGAACUGAGACACGGUCCAGACUCCUACGGGAGGCAGCAGUAGGGAAUCUUCCGCAAUGGGCGAAAGCUUGACGGAGCAACGCCGCGUGAGUGAUGAAGGUCUUCGGAUCGUAAAACUCUGUUAUUAGGGAAGAACAAAUGUGUAAGUAACUAUGCACGUCUUGACGGUACCUAAUCAGAAAGCCACGGCUAACUACGUG
This 497-nucleotide ribosomal RNA is filed under the name uncultured bacterium. RNAcentral describes it as "partial 16S ribosomal RNA". It matches the Rfam family "Bacterial small subunit ribosomal RNA", at positions 28 to 507 of the family's 1533-position model. The record is from RNAcentral.